This 756-nucleotide ribosomal RNA is filed under the name uncultured bacterium. RNAcentral describes it as "bacterial SSU rRNA". It matches the Rfam family "Bacterial small subunit ribosomal RNA", at positions 8 to 796 of the family's 1533-position model. The record is from RNAcentral.
AGAGUUUGAUCCUGGCUCAGAAUCAACGCUGGCGGCGUGCCUAACACAUGCAAGUCGAACGAGAAAGGGUAGCAAUACCUGAGUAAAGUGGCGCACGGGUGAGUAACACGUGACUAACCUACCUUUUAGUGGGGGAUAACCUAGGGAAACCUGGGCUAAUACCGCAUAACACUUACGAGUCAAAGCAGCAAUGCGCUGAAAGAGGGGGUCGCGGCCGAUUAGCUAGUUGGCGGGGUAAUGGCCCACCAAGGCAGUGAUCGGUAUCCGGCCUGAGAGGGCGCACGGACACACUGGAACUGAAACACGGUCCAGACUCCUACGGGAGGCAGCAGUGGGGAAUUUUGCGCAAUGGGGGAAACCCUGACGCAGCAACGCCGCGUGGAGGAUGAAGUCCCUUGGGACGUAAACUCCUUUCGAUCGGGACGAUAAUGACGGUACCGGAAGAAGAAGCCCCGGCUAACUUCGUGCCAGCAGCCGCGGUAAUACGAGGGGGGCAAGCGUUGUUCGGAAUUAUUGGGCGUAAAGGGUGCGUAGGUGGUUCGGCAAGUCUUGUGUGAAAUCUUCAGGCUCAACUUGAAGUCUGCAUAAGAAACUGCCGGGCUUGAGUAUGGGAGAGGUGAGUGGAAUUUCCGGUGUAGCGGUGAAAUGCGUAGAUAUCGGAAGGAACACCUGUGGCGAAAGCGGCUCACUGGACCAUUACUGACACUGAGGCACGAAAGCUAGGGGAGCAAACAGGAUUAGAUACCCUGGUAGUCC